UACGGAGGGUGCAAGCGUUAUCCGGAUUUACUGGGUUUAAAGGGCGCGCAGGCGGAUUGGUAAGUCAGUGGUGAAAUACCCGUGCUUAACAUGGGAACUGCCAUUGAUACUAUCAGUCUUGAAUAUCGUUGAGGUUUGCGGAAUGGGUCAUGUAGCGGUGAAAUGCAUAGAUAUGACCCGGAACACCUAUUGCGAAGGCAGCAGGCUAAACGAAGAUUGACGCUGAGGCUCGAAAGCGUGGGGAUCAAACAGG
This 253-nucleotide ribosomal RNA is filed under the name uncultured bacterium. RNAcentral's name for it is "partial 16S ribosomal RNA". It matches the Rfam family "Bacterial small subunit ribosomal RNA", at positions 524 to 776 of the family's 1533-position model. The record is from RNAcentral.